UUUGAACCGAUAAUGGAGAAGAGUAGGUCAGAAUGCAUGGAGAAGAGAGGAACCGUCCCGGGCUGAAAGCGGAUCCGCACUGCAUCUUUCUCGAAACAACACUCCGGAGGUUUCCUGCUGAACGCUUUUGCAUGAUGAUGCACCGGUCAUUAGGCAGCGGACGUGAACCUGCGUUAAAGGCCAGAGCGGGAAUGCUGAGGCGUUCCAACUAGGGUGGCACCACGGGUAUAACUCUCGUCCCUACU
RNAcentral lists this non-coding RNA (245 nucleotides) under Bacillus sp. (in: firmicutes). RNAcentral's name for it is "Bacillus sp. T-box sequence". It matches the Rfam family "T-box leader". Rfam says of the family: Uncharged tRNA acts as the effector for transcription antitermination of genes in the T-box leader family. T-boxes are found upstream of many aminoacyl-tRNA synthetase genes and some amino acid biosynthetic genes usually in Gram-positive bacteria. The record is from RNAcentral. Lineage: Bacteria; Bacillati; Bacillota; Bacilli; Caryophanales; Bacillaceae.